UUGAAGAACCAAAGUCUCCCUAACACUAGACCACAAGUGUUGAUGCAGAACAUCGGAGUAUUUUCGUGUCAUGAGUGGAAUCACCUGAUCAUAUUCUUCUCCACUUAUACACAAAUUCAGAGAGAAACCUAAUGAAUUUGGGAGAACCCCUCUUGUGUGAAUUGAACUCGGUACCUAAUGGUCCCUAAGCCUUAUCUCACCAUAAGAUGUCACUAUGCUAUAAGGGGGUAGGGGUAGGGCUGGCAUAUCGUGUAUAUCCAUACACGAUAAGACACGAUACACGAAAUCUCAUACACGAACACGACACGAUAAUUUAUCGUGUCCUUUUUUUUUCAAACACGAACUCGAGACGAUAUACACGAAAAUUACCUGUUAAUACUUGUUAACACGACUAUUCGACUGUUAUACACGAAAAUUACCUGUUAAU
RNAcentral lists this long non-coding RNA (427 nucleotides) under Helianthus annuus (common sunflower). The record is from RNAcentral. Lineage: Eukaryota; Viridiplantae; Streptophyta; Magnoliopsida; Asterales; Asteraceae.